AGCGAACGCUGGCGGCAGGCCUAAUACAUGCAAGUCGAACGGACCCUUCGGGGUUAGUGGCGGACGGGUGAGUAACACGUGGGAACGUGCCCUUUGGUUCGGAACAACUCAGGGAAACUUGAGCUAAUACCGGAUAAGCCCUUCGGGGAAGGAUUAUCGCCAUUGGAGCGGCCCGCGUCUGAUUAGCUAGUUGGUGGGGUAAAAGACCUACCAAGGCGACGAUCAGUAGCUGGUCUGAGAGGAUGAUCAGCCACACUGGGACUGAGACACGGCCCAGACUCCUACGGGAGGCAGCAGUAGGGAAUCUUGCGCAAUGGGCGAAAGCCUGACGCAGCCAUGCCGCGUGAAUGAUG
RNAcentral lists this ribosomal RNA (353 nucleotides) under uncultured bacterium. Its description in RNAcentral is "bacterial SSU rRNA". It matches the Rfam family "Bacterial small subunit ribosomal RNA", at positions 29 to 410 of the family's 1533-position model. The record is from RNAcentral.